UUUGCAUGGAAACCCAUCUGGAGGCAGAUGCUCUCGGUGGACUCACACAGCAUAUGGGCAGAUCGCACCUGCCUUGGGGGGACAUGGCCUCCGAUUAGAGAGGCAACGGCUGGGGUUUGAAGAUGUCAGUUAAAAACAAAAACUUUCUUUAAAAAGUACCAGUUUAAAUGUAAACUAUGAAACACGUGAACUAUAAAAUGUAGCCAGAAAGAUGCUGAAGUAUCCACAGUCAAUUACUGAAAAUGUGACUCUCUGGAGAUCUUAGAAGGCUCAGAGCAUUUGACAGUAGCUAAAAACAUAUAUCCUUAACAUGUGCUUUUGAAAAUCACAUUUGAUUACAAGACAGAGAAUAAUCUCUUCCUUGGUUUAAUUUUUGUGGUAAAGAUGAGCUAUUUUCAGAAUUCACUUAAGCAACGAUGACCAGCGUAUGAGUGAAUUGUUAUUUUCAGCCCAUGCAGAGUUCCUAAGUCUUUUAAAUCCCAAGAUCAAGCUGGCUACAUGAUUUCAAAAAAGCCUAAAACCAGGAUGAAUGCCCACAUUUGAGGUAAUUAUUGCCAUCAGGUCACAGUUUGUGUAAGAUAAUGUAUCUAAAACCUUCUUUAGAUAGAUCUUUAGGUGCUCUGUCAGAAUUCCAGAAUACCUAUUGAAACCAACCAAUUCUGAUUAGUUGGGUUUGCUUCCAAUGGAAUUAAAGUUCUAGAAGGUUCUAGAACUUGUGUAAACUACCUAAGCAUUUAGGCAAACAAGCCUGGAGCCAGUCAAUAAAGAAGUUUCUGAAAUUAAAAAGAAAACAAAAAACCCACCCAAAACAACUGAGAUGUUUCUUAAAGCAAGAAUAGUUUCCUAAAAAAUUAAAAAUCUAAAGUAUUUCUAAAUUCUUGCCACCUUUCAACCAACAUAAAAAUGCUUCUGUAUUAUCCUGAAAGUUGCCUAGUUUUUCUCAGUUUACAAAACCGCUGCCUUCCGUCUGAGGUUAUCUCAAAAGACAACCUUAUUUUGUUCCUCUUUCUAAAAGUCAUCUUGUCUUUCUCCUCCUUUUUUUGUUUUUGUUUUUGUUUUUGUUUUUGUUUUUGUUUUUGUUUUUGUUUUUGUUUUUUUUUUUACACAAAGAAAACAGUUCCUGGACACCAGACCCACACACAAUAUUUACAAAUUUGGUGUGAAUCCCGCACCUGGGUCUACCCAGAGCCGAAAGAGUAGAUGAUGACAGAGACCAGAAGUGUCAUGAUAUUUCUCAGUGCAGUAAAAAAUAGCAUUUUGAAAAAAAUAUAUACCUUUAGUAUUGCCUUUAUAGAAUUAACUACAAGCAAGAAAAAAAUUAUUUUUUUUUUAAAGAAGAAAAGAACACUUUUUUCCCUCCCUCUUACAAGAGUUAGUUGUAGCAGCACUACGAAAGCUAGCUGGUACACUGGAAAGGAAGAGCCAAAAGAAACACGCUUAAGAGUUUUCUC
Molecule: long non-coding RNA, 1451 nt
Filed under: Sus scrofa (pig)
Lineage: Eukaryota; Metazoa; Chordata; Mammalia; Artiodactyla; Suidae
Description: lncRNA (ENSSSCG00015003407.1)
Source: RNAcentral